RNAcentral lists this ribosomal RNA (253 nucleotides) under Pseudomonadota bacterium. RNAcentral's name for it is "partial 16S ribosomal RNA". It matches the Rfam family "Bacterial small subunit ribosomal RNA", at positions 524 to 776 of the family's 1533-position model. RNAcentral also lists the same sequence under 1 other name. Lineage: Bacteria; Pseudomonadati; Pseudomonadota. The record is from RNAcentral.
GACGGAGGGUGCAAGCGUUGUUCGGAAUUACUGGGCGUAAAGGGCGCGUAGGCGGUCUGCUAAGUUCGGUGUGAAAUCCCUCGGCUUACCCGGGGAACGGCGCUGGAAACUGGCAGACUCGAGUACCGGAGAGGAGGGUGGAAUUCCUGGUGUAGCGGUGAAAUGCGUAGAUAUCAGGAGGAACACCGGUGGCGAAGGCGGCCCUCUGGACGGAUACUGACGCUGAGGCGCGAAAGCGUGGGGAUCAAACAGG